AUGUGAAAGAAAAAUAGCAUAUUUAGUAUGUUGUAUCCUUAUUCAAAUUAAAUCACUUGUUAAUCGAGUCCACGUAAAUCAAAUAUUGCAGGUACCAGUCAACUUCUGCGGCAAACAACACAAAAGCACAACGAAAAUUUCUAGGUGAUCCAAGGGAGCUCACUCGUGAAGGAGGAUGCGAGAUAGAAUAGCGUGUGAGCAAUGAUGACGUUAUAAUAUAAACUAAUCAACCAUGAAGCUAUAACCAUUCCAUACCCCAAACC
Long non-coding RNA from Patella vulgata (common limpet), 263 nucleotides. RefSeq lists it as uncharacterized. Lineage: Eukaryota; Metazoa; Mollusca; Gastropoda; Patellidae. The transcript has 3 exons. The record is from RefSeq and is a predicted model, not a curated record.